Molecule: ribosomal RNA, 253 nt
Filed under: uncultured bacterium
Lineage: Bacteria
Description: partial 16S ribosomal RNA
Rfam family: Bacterial small subunit ribosomal RNA
Source: RNAcentral
GACAGAGGGUGCAAACGUUGUUCGGAAUUACUGGGCGUAAAGCGCGUGUAGGCGGCUAUGCAAGUCGGGCGUGAAAGCCCACGGCUCAACCGUGGAAGUGCACUCGAAACUGCGUAGCUAGAGUCCCGGAGAGGAAGGUGGAAUACUUGGUGUAGAGGUGAAAUUCGUAGAUAUCAAGUGGAACACCGGUGGCGAAGGCGGCCUUCUGGACGGUGACUGACGCUGAGACGCGAAAGCGUGGGGAGCAAACAGG